Molecule: transfer RNA, 83 nt
Filed under: Kitasatospora sp. Root107
Lineage: Bacteria; Bacillati; Actinomycetota; Actinomycetes; Kitasatosporales; Streptomycetaceae
Also listed under: 1 other name
Description: tRNA-Leu
Rfam family: tRNA
About the family: Transfer RNA (tRNA) molecules are approximately 80 nucleotides in length. Their secondary structure includes four short double-helical elements and three loops (D, anti-codon, and T loops).
Source: RNAcentral
GCGGCCUUGGCGUAAUGGCAGCCGCGCGGGUUUUAGGUGCCCGUGAGGGAAACCUCGUGAGGGUUCGAGUCCCUCAGGCCGCA